This 805-nucleotide ribosomal RNA is filed under the name uncultured Fusarium. Its description in RNAcentral is "eukaryotic LSU rRNA". The stretch from base 209 to 805 matches the Rfam family "Eukaryotic large subunit ribosomal RNA", at positions 1 to 609 of the family's 3401-position model. The record is from RNAcentral. Lineage: Eukaryota; Fungi; Ascomycota; Sordariomycetes; Hypocreales; Nectriaceae.
GAACGCACAUUGCGCCCGCCAGUAUUCUGGCGGGCAUGCCUGUUCGAGCGUCAUUUCAACCCUCAAGCACAGCUUGGUGUUGGGACUCGCGUUAAUUCGCGUUCCUCAAAUUGAUUGGCGGUCACGUCGAGCUUCCAUAGCGUAGUAGUAAAACCCUCGUUACUGGUAAUCGUCGCGGCCACGCCGUUAAACCCCAACUUCUGAAUGUUGACCUCGGAUCAGGUAGGAAUACCCGCUGAACUUAAGCAUAUCAAUAAGCGGAGGAAAAGAAACCAACAGGGAUUGCCCUAGUAACGGCGAGUGAAGCGGCAACAGCUCAAAUUUGAAAUCUGGCUCUCGGGCCCGAGUUGUAAUUUGUAGAGGAUACUUUUGAUGCGGUGCCUUCCGAGUUCCCUGGAACGGGACGCCAUAGAGGGUGAGAGCCCCGUCUGGUUGGAUGCCAAAUCUCUGUAAAGUUCCUUCAACGAGUCGAGUAGUUUGGGAAUGCUGCUCUAAAUGGGAGGUAUAUGUCUUCUAAAGCUAAAUACCGGCCAGAGACCGAUAGCGCACAAGUAGAGUGAUCGAAAGAUGAAAAGCACUUUGAAAAGAGAGUUAAAAAGUACGUGAAAUUGUUGAAAGGGAAGCGUUUAUGACCAGACUUGGGCUUGGUUAAUCAUCUGGGGUUCUCCCCAGUGCACUUUUCCAGUCCAGGCCAGCAUCAGUUUUCCCCGGGGGAUAAAGACGGCGGGAAUGUGGCUCUCUUCGGGGAGUGUUAUAGCCCACCGUGUAAUACCCUGGGGGGGACUGAGGUUCGCGCAUCUGCAAG